GGAUCAUUAUCGAGUGUUAAAACUCCCAAACCCCUGUGAACAUACCUAUGUUGCUUCGGCGGUUUCGUCCCGGGCGCCCUGUGUGUCCCGGAGCUAGGCGGCCGCCGGAGGAUACAAACUCUUGUUUUAUUGAGAAUCUUCUGAGUAUAACAAACAAAUAAAUUAAAACUUUCAACAACGGAUCUCUUGGUUCUGGCAUCGAUGAAGAACGCAGCGAAAUGCGAAAAGUAAUGUGAAUUGCAGAAUUCAGUGAAUCAUCGAAUCUUUGAACGCACAUUGCGCUCGCCAGUAUUCUGGCGAGCAUGCCUGUCUGAGCGUCAUUUCAACCCUCAAGUCCCCUUGGACUUGGUGUUGGGGAUCGACCCGCCCCCUGUGGGAGGGCCGUCCCCUAAAUCUAGUGGCGGACCCGCUGUGGCCUCCUCUGCGUAGUAGUGAUACCCCGCAUGUGGAGUGCAGUGAGCCCCUGCCGUUAAACCCCCAACUUUUUCAGGUUGACCUCAGAUCAGGUAGGAAU
This 514-nucleotide ribosomal RNA is filed under the name Clonostachys sp. LA215. RNAcentral describes it as "eukaryotic LSU rRNA". The stretch from base 167 to 320 matches the Rfam family "5.8S ribosomal RNA". The record is from RNAcentral. Lineage: Eukaryota; Fungi; Ascomycota; Sordariomycetes; Hypocreales; Bionectriaceae.